CUUUGGGAUAACCCUCGGAAACGGGGGCUAAUACCGGAUAUGACCUUGUCCUGCAUGGGGUGGGGUGGAAAGUUUUUUCGGCUAGGGGUGGGCUCGCGGCCUAUCAGCUUGUUGGUGGGGUGAUGGCCUACCAAGGCGACGACGGGUAGCCGGCCUGAGAGGGCGACCGGCCACACUGGGACUGAGACACGGCCCAGACUCCUACGGGAGGCAGCAGUGGGGAAUAUUGCACAAUGGGCGGAAGCCUGAUGCAGCGACGCCGCGUGAGGGAUGACGGCCUUCGGGUUGUAAACCUCUUUCACCCAUGACGAAGCGUUUGUGACGGUAGUGGGAGAAGAAGCGCCGGCCAACUACGUGCCAGCAGCCGCGGUAAGACGUAGGGCGCGAGCGUUGUCCGGAUUUAUUGGGCGUAAAGAGCUCGUAGGCGGCUUGUUGCGUCGACCGUGAAAACCCGGGGCUCAACUUCGGGCUUGCGGUCGAUACGGGCGGGCUAGAGUUCGGUAGGGGAGACUGGAAUUCCUGGUGUAGCGGUGAAAUGCGCAGAUAUCAGGAGGAACACCGGUGGCGAAGGCGGGUCUCUGGGCCGAUACUGACGCUGAGGAGCGAAAGCGUGGGGAGCGAACAGGAUUAGAUACCCUGGUAGUCCACGCUGUAAACGUUGGGCGC
RNAcentral lists this ribosomal RNA (666 nucleotides) under uncultured Micromonosporaceae bacterium. Its description in RNAcentral is "bacterial SSU rRNA". It matches the Rfam family "Bacterial small subunit ribosomal RNA", at positions 136 to 816 of the family's 1533-position model. Lineage: Bacteria; Bacillati; Actinomycetota; Actinomycetes; Micromonosporales; Micromonosporaceae. The record is from RNAcentral.